UACGGGGGGAGCAAGCGUUGUCCGGAUUUACUGGGCGUAAAGAGCGCGCAGGCGGUCGUUCAAGUCGCGUGUGAAAGCCCCCGGCUCAACUGGGGAGGGUCACGCGAUACUGAUCGACUCGAAGGCAGGAGAGGGAAGUGGAAUUCCCGGUGUAGUGGUGAAAUGCGUAGAUAUCGGGAGGAACACCAGUGGCGAAGGCGACUUCCUGGCCUGUUCUUGACGCUGAGGCGCGAAAGCUAGGGGAGCAAACGGG
RNAcentral lists this ribosomal RNA (253 nucleotides) under uncultured bacterium. Its description in RNAcentral is "partial 16S ribosomal RNA". It matches the Rfam family "Bacterial small subunit ribosomal RNA", at positions 524 to 776 of the family's 1533-position model. The record is from RNAcentral.